UCCUAAAAUGGUUCACCACAA
Molecule: non-coding RNA, 21 nt
Filed under: Arabidopsis thaliana (thale cress)
Lineage: Eukaryota; Viridiplantae; Streptophyta; Magnoliopsida; Brassicales; Brassicaceae
Source: RNAcentral